GGCCACAGCUCAGUGGUAGAGAAUCCGCUUAUUAUGCAGAAGGUGCUGGGUUCGAUUCCCGACAUCUCCA
RNAcentral lists this transfer RNA (70 nucleotides) under Sphaerodactylus townsendi. RNAcentral's name for it is "tRNA-Asn". The record is from RNAcentral. Lineage: Eukaryota; Metazoa; Chordata; Lepidosauria; Squamata; Sphaerodactylidae.